GGCGAACGGGUGCGUAACGCGUAUGCAACUUACCUUUUACUAGAGAAUAGCCAAGAGAAAUUUUGAUUAAUGCUCUAUGUUCUUAUUUACUCGCAUGAGUAAAUAAGCAAAGCUCCGGCGGUAAAAGAUGGGCAUGCGUCCUAUUAGCUUGUAGGUGAGGUAAUGGCUCACCUAAGCUCCGAUAGGUAGGGGUCCUGAGAGGGAGAUCCCCCACACUGGUACUGAGACACGGACCAGACUUCUACGGAAGGCAGCAGUAAGGAAUAUUGGACAAUGGAGACAACUCUGAUCCAGCCAUGCCGCGUGAAGGAAGACGGCCUUAUGGGUUGUAAACUUCUUUUAUACAGGAAGAAACCUUUCCACGUGUGGAAAGUUGACGGUACUGUAAGAAUAAGGAUCGGCUAACUCCGUGCCAGCAGCCGCGGUAAUACGGAGGAUCCAAGCGUUAUCCGGAAUUAUUGGGUUUAAAGGGUCCGCAGGCUGUUUGUUAAGUCAGAGGUGAAAUCCUACCGCUCAACGGUAGAACUGCCUUUGAUACUGGCAAACUUGAGUUAUUGUGAAGUAGUUAGAAUGUGUAGUGUAGCGGUGAAAUGCAUAGAUAUUACACAGAAUACCGAUUGCGAAAGCAGAUUACUAACAAUAUACUGACGCUGAAGGACGAAAGCGUGUGUAGCGAACAGGAUUAGAUACCCUGGUAGUCCACGCCGUAAACGAUGGUCACUAGCUGUUCGAUGUACAUUGGUACGUUGAGU
This 752-nucleotide ribosomal RNA is filed under the name uncultured marine bacterium. Its description in RNAcentral is "bacterial SSU rRNA". It matches the Rfam family "Bacterial small subunit ribosomal RNA", at positions 97 to 844 of the family's 1533-position model. The record is from RNAcentral.